UACGUAGGGUGCAAGCGUUAAUCGGAAUUACUGGGCGUAAAGCGCGCGUAGGCGGCUUGAUAAGCCGGGUGUGAAAACCCCGGGCUCAACCGGGGAACGGCACCCGGAACUGUCAGGCUAGAGUGCAGGAGAGGAAGGCAGAAUUCCCGGUGUAGCGGUGAAAUGCGUAGAGAUCGGGAGGAAUACCAGUGGCGAAGGCGGCCUUCUGGACUGACACUGACGCUGAGGUGCGAAAGCGUGGGUAGCAAACAGG
This 253-nucleotide unclassified non-coding RNA is filed under the name uncultured Halomonadaceae bacterium. RNAcentral describes it as "contains 16S-23S intergenic spacer region". It matches the Rfam family "Bacterial small subunit ribosomal RNA", at positions 524 to 776 of the family's 1533-position model. Lineage: Bacteria; Pseudomonadati; Pseudomonadota; Gammaproteobacteria; Oceanospirillales; Halomonadaceae. The record is from RNAcentral.